Molecule: ribosomal RNA, 542 nt
Filed under: uncultured Sphaerochaeta sp.
Lineage: Bacteria; Pseudomonadati; Spirochaetota; Spirochaetia; Spirochaetales; Sphaerochaetaceae
Description: bacterial SSU rRNA
Rfam family: Bacterial small subunit ribosomal RNA
Source: RNAcentral
UCGGCUGAAUGAGCGACGCCGCGUGAACGAAGAAGGGCGUGAGGUUGUAAAGUUCUUUUCUGGAGGGGGAACAACCGUGGCAGGGAAUGGCCGCGGGAUGACGUGAAUCCCGGAAUAAGCCCCGGCUAACUACGUGCCAGCAGCCGCGGUAACACGUAGGGGGCGAGCGUUGUUCGGAAUCAUUGGGCGUAAAGGGCGUGCAGGCGGUCCUGCAAGUCCGGCGUGAAAUACCCCGGCCCAACCGGGGGGACGCGCUGGAAACUGCAGGGCUUGAGUACAGGAGGGGAUGCCGGAAUUCCAGGUGUAGGGGUGAAAUCUGUAGAUAUCUGGAAGAACACCAAUGGCGAAGGCAGGCAUCUGGCCAUGUACUGACGCUGAGACGCGAAGGUGCGGGGAGCAAACAGGUUUAGAUACCCUGGUAUUCCGCACAGUAAACGAUGUGCACCAGGUGGCGGGGGGUCGACCCCCGGUACCGUAGCUAACGCAUUAAGUGCACCGCCUGGGGAGUAUGCUCGCAAGGGUGAAACUCAAAGGAAUUGACG